RNAcentral lists this small nuclear RNA (107 nucleotides) under Spermophilus dauricus (Daurian ground squirrel). Lineage: Eukaryota; Metazoa; Chordata; Mammalia; Rodentia; Sciuridae. The record is from RNAcentral.
GUGCUUACUUCAGCAGAACAUAUUCUAAAAUUAUAGUGAUAUAGAGAAGAUUAGCAUGGACCCUAUGCAAGGAUGACAUGUAAAUUCAUGAAGCAUUCCAUAUUUAA